Molecule: ribosomal RNA, 301 nt
Filed under: uncultured bacterium
Lineage: Bacteria
Description: partial 16S ribosomal RNA
Rfam family: Bacterial small subunit ribosomal RNA
Source: RNAcentral
CAGUAGCCGCGGGAAUACAGAGGGUGCGAGCGUUAAUCGGAUUUACUGGGCGUAAAGCGCACGCAGGCGGUCUGACAAGUCAGAUGUGAAAUCCCCGGGCUUAACCUGGGAACUGCAUUUGAAACUGUCAGGCUGGAGUCUUGUAGAGGGGGGUAGAAUUCCAGGUGUAGCGGUGAAAUGCGUAGAGAUCUGGAGGAAUACCGGUGGCGAAGGCGGCCCCCUGGACAAAGACUGACGCUCAGGUGCGAAAGCGUGGGGAGCAAACAGGAUUAGAUACCCGUGUAGUCCCUGUCUCUUAUAC